This 2664-nucleotide long non-coding RNA is filed under the name Piliocolobus tephrosceles (Ugandan red Colobus). RNAcentral's name for it is "lncRNA (ENSPTEG00000001620.1)". The record is from RNAcentral. Lineage: Eukaryota; Metazoa; Chordata; Mammalia; Primates; Cercopithecidae.
AUGGACGAUACUUUUCAUAGAAAAACGAACAAUUUGGAUAACCCAAUAGAACAAAAACAGUUUGUCCAAAAAAGAACAUCUCUUUUUCGAAAUAAAAGAGAAGAUAAAUUGGAAGCGUGUUACCGAUAUCAAAAAAAGUUUAACAACACAAAUUUUAUACGACAUACUGAAAAAGUGGAUACUAUCAAUAAGACGCAUGUUAUGGAUAAUAGCGAUGUGGAUAAUGAUAGUUUUGAUGAUAGUUUGGAUAAUAGUUUGGAUGACAGUAUUUAUAAUGGCGGUGUACAUAAGAGAGGUGUACAUAAGGGAGGUGUACAUAAGGGAGGUGUAAAUGAUGGCACUGAUGCUGCCUCCAAUUUGGACAACACAAACGACAAAAGUGUUACAACAGACAGUAACAUAUACGACCCAAAAAAAUACAGCCUUGAUGAUUUUAUUAACAAAAAUAAAGACAUAAUCUCGAACAAAGAUUUAUUAGAUAAUGAAGAGAACAAUAAUUAUAAUAAACUGAAAAACAAUAGAGCUUUCGAUUUUUAUAUUAAAGAAAAGUUUGAUGAGAUACGGAAUUUGAAAAAACAAGUAGAUAAUUUGGAAAAAGAGUUAAAAGAAAUAACUAAAAUAAAUUUAUUGGAGUAUAUUGUAUUAUGUCCAGGUUUAUGUGAAGAACCUAAAAAUAUGAAUGACCAAUGGUGUCUGUUUUGGAAUGAUAUUGGUCAUAUUACCAAAGUAAGAGAUGGUAAUAAAACAUAUAUUUACGUAUUUUUAUUUAGAGGAGAGGAAGUCGGGAAAAAAAGAAUUACUGAUAUUUAUAAUGUUACGUAUGCUUCUUUAAGUGCGUAUGGUAUUGCUUUAGCAUCCACACCUUAUAAAACAUCCGCUUCAAGCGCACAUAGUAUAUUAUGUUUUCAUAAUUUAAAAAAUACUACAAUUUGGUAUAAAUAUUUUCCAAAAGGUGAAUAUAUUAAAGCAGUAGCUAAUGGAAAUAAUUUUGUAGCUGUUAUUACAUCAAAUAAUUUUUUAAGAAUUUAUUCAGAAUAUGGUUAUAUGUUUAAUACAAUUUUAUUAAAAGGUAUGCCAAUCGCUAUUUGUGCAUAUGAAUAUUUACUUUUUGUUAUCACUAGUCCUUUUGUAUUUGAAAAUGUAACUACCUUCAACAUAAAUAAUACAUAUAAUUGUACAUUAUAUAAAAUAUAUGAACAUUUUUCAGAUAUUAAAAUAAAUAAAUAUAAUACAUAUCAUAUAACUAUAUUAUAUGAUGACAUUUUAUCUUUACCAUCAUGUUAUUAUAUAAAUUGGGUAAACCUAUCUAAUUUUGGUGUACCCUAUGUGAAAGAUACAUCUAAUUUUAUAUAUGCUUUAUUUCCAUUAUUUAAAAAAAAUAACAAUGUAGUAUAUGACUGGGUGCCUGUGUUUGACAUGAACAAACUUUAUAAAGGUAAAAAAAAAGGUAUUAAAAAAUAUAAAAAUAAACAAAAAAAUAAGAAUACUGUGGGUAACCUUUUGUUCGACAAAAAUGAACAAAAUAAUGACGAUGGAGAAGUAGAAAAAGAAUGGGAAAAAGACUGGAAUGAAGAAGAGGAAGAAGAAGAAGAAGAAGAAGAGGAGGACGAAGAAGAGGACGAAGAAGAUGCAAUAAACACGCGUAAUACAAAUUUCGAUUUUCCAGCAGAACGAAUAUAUUAUCCUUUAUAUUUUGAUAAUCACGAACAGAUAUCAGUUAUUAAAUUAAAUCCAAAUGAAACAGAACCCAAAUCAAACAAAAUAGAAAGUUGUUUAGGUUAUAAUGUAGAAAAAAAAUAUAUAGUUAUGAGCGAAUGUAAUUUAAUAGAAUAUGAGAAAAUUGUUAAUUUAUUAAAUAAAAAUCCGAAUUUAAAUUUUGACAUUAAUGAUAGUGAUAACAAACUGAGUGUAUUACCAUGGGAGCAGUAUGAUGAAAUGAGAACACGUGUUGAUUUAUUUUGUAAACAAUUAUAUGUAAAUAUAUUGUAUGAUUAUAUGAACGAUCAAGAAAAUAAAAGUGCUAAUGAUACUUUAAAAGUAUAUAAUAAAUUAUGUGAUAAAUGGAUAAUGAGAAUGUUUGCCAUACUUAAAAAUGAUAGAAAACAGCAUAAAUUAGCUGUCAAGUCAUCUAGACUUUUUAAAAAUAUAAAAAAUAUGUUAUUAUCAAUUAAAUUAGUAGAUGAUGAAAAUAGUACUUUACAUAGUGAAAUAACAAAUGAAUAUUUAAAGAGACAAAAUGAUGAUACUAGAUAUAAAAAGUUACAACACCAAUUGAAACAAGAACAAGACGAACACAGUGGGUCAAAUAAAAAAGAGAAUAAUACUGAUGAGAAGUUUCUAUAUGGUAAACAUAUUGGACAUAAUAAAAAUAGUGAAUAUGAUACAAACAAAGAUACAAAUUACAAUAACGAAGAUCAACGUAUUUUGCAACAAGUAAAAAAUAACUUUGCCCAAAUAAAACGAAAUAGUCAUAUAAAUAAUAAUCCCAUUAUAAACAAUUUUGAUUUAAAAGAAAAAAAAGAAAAUAGUUUUUUGGACAGAUUUUUUACAGGAGUAACUCAAAAUCAUAAUGUUGAAACUAUUUUCUCAAAUGAAAAAAAAACAACUCAAAUUAAAAAAAAAAAUACUUUAGAAAAUUUCUUUUCAGAAUUGAAUGAGCAGUAA